AAUUAGCUAGCUCGUUAGCUAUCUAGCUUAUAGACACUUUCAUAUUUUAUCAAUUGCCGACGCAAACCUUCCCCCCUGAAAGAAAUGCAUGCACGUUCACGCCUCGUACCCCAAAGACCGUUAUCACUUUAAUUAUUGCUGAAUGCUCAUCUACUUUUUUUUCCUUCUAAAUAUUCAAUGAAGACCGGCAAUGAAUGUUAUUUACCCAGCAGGUGGAUAUGACGUAAUGGACUUGGAACAUCAAAAAAUAACAACAUCCAAAUCCGCGAUGCCCCUUUUUCUUUCAAGGCGCAUUAAAAUGUAAUAACAUCACAAGGCGCUCGCCUUCAUAUUCGAGGCAGAAGGUGGUGUGAAACUGUACAUUGCCUCCGUGCAACGUUGCAUUGCGAGUAUGCAGCAGAGUUAGUCCCGCGAGCGGAGUAAUAUUGUUAGUGUUUACAGCGUGGUUGCUGCACGCUUUCCUGAUACACAAGAUCGCAUGUAUAGUUCAUUAUUUCAAGCACAAGAUUUUUUUUCUCCUCCUGCGCUGAUCUACCAUUUCUCUCGCGUACGGUGAAACGGCAUCGGUGACCCCUUGACGGCUUGCCGCUGAAUGUCCCCUGAAUGGAUGAGAUGUCCAUCUUGCUCACACAGCUGAACACGGGUAACAAGGCUGAUCUCUUAGAAUCGGAAGUGAAGAUUGCUUUAAGCAAGCAAGCCCUUGUAGAAGGU
Brienomyrus brachyistius is the source of this 711-nucleotide long non-coding RNA. RefSeq lists it as uncharacterized. The transcript has 3 exons. The record is from RefSeq and is a predicted model, not a curated record. NCBI's taxonomy places the organism in Eukaryota, Metazoa, Chordata, Actinopteri, Osteoglossiformes, Mormyridae.